This 253-nucleotide ribosomal RNA is filed under the name uncultured bacterium. RNAcentral describes it as "partial 16S ribosomal RNA". It matches the Rfam family "Bacterial small subunit ribosomal RNA", at positions 524 to 776 of the family's 1533-position model. The record is from RNAcentral.
UACGUAGGCAGCGAGCGUUGUUCGGAAUUACUGGGCGUAAAGCGCGCGCAGGCGGUUUUUCAAGUCAGUGGUGAAAGCCCGGAGCUCAACUCCGGAAAUGCCAUUGAAACUGUUAAACUUGAGGACGAGAGAGGUGAGUGGAAUUCCCAGUGUAGAGGUGAAAUUCGUAGAUAUUGGGAAGAACACCGGUGGCGAAGGCGGCUCACUGGCUCGUUUCUGACGCUCAGGCGCGACAGCGUGGGGAUCAAACAGG